UACAGGGGGGGCAAGCGUUGUUCGGAAUUACUGGGCGUAAAGGGCGAGUAGGCGGCCAACUAAGUCCGACGUGAAAUCCCCAGGCUUAACCUGGGAACUGCGUCGGAUACUGGAUGGCUUGAAUUCGGGAGAGGGAUGCGGAAUUCCAGGUGUAGCGGUGAAAUGCGUAGAUAUCUGGAGGAACACCGGUGGCGAAGGCGGCAUCCUGGACCAACACUGACGCUGAGGAGCGAAAGCGUGGGGAGCGAACAGG
RNAcentral lists this ribosomal RNA (253 nucleotides) under uncultured bacterium. Its description in RNAcentral is "partial 16S ribosomal RNA". It matches the Rfam family "Bacterial small subunit ribosomal RNA", at positions 524 to 776 of the family's 1533-position model. The record is from RNAcentral.